GGCAGUGGUAGCUCAGUGGUUAGGACGUUGGGCUACUGAUCGGAAGGUCAUGAAUUCGAUCCCCAGCACCGCCA
Pangasius djambal is the source of this 74-nucleotide non-coding RNA. The record is from the annotation of a GenBank genome assembly. NCBI's taxonomy places the organism in Eukaryota, Metazoa, Chordata, Actinopteri, Siluriformes, Pangasiidae.